Molecule: long non-coding RNA, 261 nt
Filed under: Physcomitrium patens
Lineage: Eukaryota; Viridiplantae; Streptophyta; Bryopsida; Funariales; Funariaceae
Description: long non-coding RNA (PPAT_LNC010883)
Source: RNAcentral
GUCCAUAUCUCAAAACCCAAACUCUAAAUACUACGAAACUUAUGUAUAAAGUUUAUUAAUAUGAUAAUAUAUAUUCUUAGAAAUUUUUAGCCAAAAUCUUAUUAAAUUGCUCAAGAUAUGGCUUAAAACACAACCACAAGUAAAUUAGAUCACUUACUACCUUUAAAUUGCAAGUUUUGACUUCAACUUCCUAUAAAUCCUUCAUUCUACUUUAAAAUUUAUAAAAAAAUAUGCAAAAAAUAUAGCCAAAAAAGUGCUCUA